Molecule: ribosomal RNA, 258 nt
Filed under: uncultured bacterium
Lineage: Bacteria
Description: partial 16S ribosomal RNA
Rfam family: Bacterial small subunit ribosomal RNA
Source: RNAcentral
CGAACGGGUGAGUAACACGUGAAGAACCUGCCCUUCAGUGGGGGACAACAGUUGGAAACGACUGCUAAUACCGCAUAAGACCACAGUACCGCAUGGUACAGUGAUCAAAGGAUUUAUCCGCUGAAGGAUGGCUUCGCGUCCGAUUAGGUAGUUGGUGAGGUAACGGCCCACCAAGCCUACGAUCGGUAGCCGGACUGAGAGGUUGAUCGGCCACAUUGGGACUGAGACACGGCCCAGACUCCUACGGGAGGCAGCAUG